CACAGACGAACAAGCACUUGAUUCGGCUUUAAAAUAACUGCAGUUAUGUCUGCUAGUGUAAGAUUUGUAGCAAGAAUUGUGAUACAACAUUUAGUAAGCAUCAGUACGAAUAUGGGUUAGGUCUGAAGCAUCAUGCAAUAAACUAAAAUCAUUCCGUGCUCCCAUAGCCUCGAUUAAGCUUUUUUUUGUGCUAAUUCCUCGCAUAUUAAUAAGUUCAGUAGAAGAACCCUGACAUAUAACACACUUAUCCCAUUGUAUUUCAUUCCUACUUCAUUUCGGGCUUGAUUGGACCAGUUUAACAGGACUGUGAAUGUGUGCCAUACUCCGGGUCUGAAACGUGACCGAAGGAUUUGAUUUGUAUAUUACAAUUAUAACAAAACUAUCAAUUAAAAAAACCUAUUAAAGUUAUGAAAACCAACAAAAAAAUAUUUCCAAUUACAAAACAACGAUCUUCAAACUAACUGGACUAUUCCAAAUAUACAAAUCGACCAUACAACAAGUAAAAAAGAGAAAGGAAGUUAGUGACAAUUGUCCUAGUUAAUGACCUGAUAGUGUGAGCUACAAAACGAUUAACAGCACGAGAAAGGCGUGUUUGAAUCAAGAUAGAAUUAUCACUAAAUUUGUGUUUUAAACUGCUAUUUUCUUCUUACCUAUUAACAUCACACGAAAGAUAUUUGGCACACAUAUGAACCAUGUCUUAUUGAUGUAAUCAGAGUAAAAAUCCCGUGAUAGUAACAC
This 738-nucleotide long non-coding RNA is filed under the name Mytilus galloprovincialis (Mediterranean mussel). Lineage: Eukaryota; Metazoa; Mollusca; Bivalvia; Mytilida; Mytilidae. The record is from RNAcentral.